This 253-nucleotide ribosomal RNA is filed under the name uncultured bacterium. RNAcentral's name for it is "partial 16S ribosomal RNA". It matches the Rfam family "Bacterial small subunit ribosomal RNA", at positions 524 to 776 of the family's 1533-position model. The record is from RNAcentral.
UACGAAGGGUGCAAACGUUGCUCGGAAUUAUUGGGCGUAAAGGGCUCGUAGACGGCCAACUAAGUCAGACGUGAAAUCCCUCGGCUUAACCGGGGAACUGCGUCUGAUACUGGUUGGCUUGAGUGUGGGAGAGGGAUGCGGAAUUCCAGGUGUAGCGGUGAAAUGCGUAGAUAUCUGGAGGAACACCGGUGGCGAAGGCGGCAUCCUGGACCAUUACUGACGCUGAGGAGCGAAAGCCAGGGGAGCAAACGGG